RNAcentral lists this ribosomal RNA (495 nucleotides) under uncultured bacterium. RNAcentral's name for it is "partial 16S ribosomal RNA". It matches the Rfam family "Bacterial small subunit ribosomal RNA", at positions 30 to 507 of the family's 1533-position model. The record is from RNAcentral.
UGACCGCUGGCGGCGUGCCUAAUACAUGCAAGUCGAGCGAACAGACGAGGAGCUUGCUCCUCUGACGUUAGCGGCGGACGGGUGAGUAACACGUGGAUAACCUACCUAUAAGACUGGGAUAACUUCGGGAAACCGGAGCUAAUACCGGAUAAUAUAUUGAACCGCAUGGUUCAAUAGUGAAAGACGGUUUUGCUGUCACUUAUAGAUGGAUCUGCGCCGCAUUAGCUAGUUGGUAAGGUAACGGCUUACCAAGGCGACGAUGCGUAGCCGACCUGAGAGGGUGAUCGGCCACACUGGAACUGAGACACGGUCCAGACUCCUACGGGAGGCAGCAGUAGGGAAUCUUCCGCAAUGGGCGAAAGCCUGACGGAGCAACGCCGCGUGAGUGAUGAAGGUCUUCGGAUCGUAAAACUCUGUUAUUAGGGAAGAACAAAUGUGUAAGUAACUAUGCACGUCUUGACGGUACCUAAUCAGAAAGCCACGGCUAACUACGUG